GGGGAAGUCGGUAUCCGCUAA
Molecule: unclassified non-coding RNA, 21 nt
Filed under: Dictyostelium discoideum
Lineage: Eukaryota; Evosea; Eumycetozoa; Dictyosteliales; Dictyosteliaceae
Source: RNAcentral